Molecule: transfer RNA, 56 nt
Filed under: Garjajewia cabanisii
Lineage: Eukaryota; Metazoa; Arthropoda; Malacostraca; Amphipoda; Acanthogammaridae
Description: tRNA-Gln
Source: RNAcentral
UUUACUUUAGUGUAAAGAGCACAUAAAUUUUUGGGGUUUAAAGUAUAAAAGUAGAC